RNAcentral lists this ribosomal RNA (301 nucleotides) under uncultured bacterium. Its description in RNAcentral is "partial 16S ribosomal RNA". It matches the Rfam family "Bacterial small subunit ribosomal RNA", at positions 509 to 807 of the family's 1533-position model. The record is from RNAcentral.
CAGUCGCCGCGGUAAUACGAAGGUCCCGAGCGUUGUUCGGAAUCACUGGGCGUAAGGGGAGCGUAGGCGGCGUGGUAAGUCAGAUGUGAAAUCCCGGGGCUCAACCCCGGAACUGCAUCCGAUACUGCCGUGCUAGAGGAUUGGAGAGGUAGCUGGAAUUCUUGGUGUAGCAGUGAAAUGCGUGGAGAUCAAGAGGAACACUCGUGGCGAAAGCGAGCUACUGGACAAUAUCUGACGCUGAGGCUCGAAGGCCAGGGUAGCGAAAGGGAUUAGAUACCCCUGUAGUCCCUGUCUCUUAUAC